RNAcentral lists this long non-coding RNA (6950 nucleotides) under Xyrichtys novacula (pearly razorfish). The record is from RNAcentral. Lineage: Eukaryota; Metazoa; Chordata; Actinopteri; Labriformes; Labridae.
GGGUUUUUCUUUGUUUCUUUCUUUCUUUCUUUCUUCUUUUUCCUCCCCUUUGAACUGGAAAAUGGCCCACUUCCCACUGGCGAAAACUCAGGAAAUUUGGCAGGACGACCGGGCCUGGUGAAAAAUUCGAUAUUCUGAAGUCGCCCAAACAAUAAAAUGCAAAAUGGCUCCAUAGCGCCCCCUAAGGUGGAAAUUCACACUAUUGACUGUCACGCCUGUACGCUUUGUCAUAUUGACACAAAAAUUGACACACAUAUGUAUCUCAAUAAGAUCUACAAAAAAGUCAGUGCGGCCGUAUCUGUCAAAUGUACGGUUAAAGGGUUAUUUCGCAUUUUUUUCCGAUCCGCACACAUUGGAAUUUUGCUAACUCCUCCAAAGGCUUUCGUUCCACCGGCACCACAUUUGCUCAGGCCAAUCUACACCCCGUGGCCAUUAAAAGUUAUCAAAAUCAUGACGCUGCACCCCAAGGUUUAGGUUCUAGGGGGCGCCAAAGAUAACACUAAAAUCCACAUAUUUAGAAGUCUUAUAACUUUUUAUUUUUGUCCUCACUGGCCUCCAAGUUUUCUAGGAUGAUGCAAUGUCCAGCCAUAAACACAUUUGUGAAGGAAUUUUUACUCCCCAAAAGAGCGCCCCCCCAUGGCAGGAGAAAAAAGUCCAUUUUUUCUUGUCCCCUAAGGUGAAAAUACACAUUGUUGACUGUCACGCCUUUACGCUUUGUCAAAAUGACACAAAAAUUGACACACACAUGUAACUCAAUAAGAUCUACGAAAAAGUCAACGCGCACGUAUCUGUCAAAUGUACGGUUAAAGGGUUAUUCCGCAUUUUUUGCCGAUCCGCACACAUUGGAAUUUCGCUAACUCCUCCGAAGGCUUUCUGUCCACCGGCACCACAUUUGCUCAGGCCAAUCUACACCCCAUGGCCAUUAAAAGUUAUUCAAAUCAUGACGCUGCACCCCACGGUUUAGGUUCUAGGGGGCGCCAAAGACAACCCUAAAAUCCACAUAUUUAAAAGUCUUAUAACUUUUUAUUUUUGUCCUCACUGGCCUCCAAGUUUUCUAGGAUGAUGCAAUGUCCAGCCAUCAACACAUUUGUGAAGGAAUUUUUACUCCCCAAAAGAGCGCCCCCCCCAUGGCAGGAGAAAAAAGUCCAUUUUUUCUUGUCCCCUAAGGUGAAAAUUCACAUUGUUGAGUGUGACACCUGUACGCUUUGUCAUAUUGACACAAAAUUUGACAAUCACGUGUAUCUCAAUAAGAUCUACGAAAAAGUCAAUGCACGCGUAUCUGUCAAAUGUACGGUUAGAGGGCUAUUUUGCAUUUUUUGCCGAUUCGCACACAUUGGAAUGUGGCUAACUCCUCCUAAGGCUUUUGUCCCACUGACACCAAAUUUCCUCAGACCAAUCUACACCCCAUGGCCAUUCAAAGUUGUAAAAAUCAUGACGCUGCACCCCACGGUUAACGUUCUAGGGGGCGCCAAAGAUGACCCAAAUAUCCACAUUCUUAAAAGAAUCCACAUCCCCCCCCCAUCCCCCCCCAUGGCAGGAGAAAAAGUCAAGUUUUUCCUGCCCAUCGCUCAAUGGCCCAAUCGCAUCGCUCUCCAGGCAACACCGUAAGUAGGAGCAACCCGCAAUUUGGAUAUAUCCUAGCUGUGUUUGUGCCCUCACUCAUGGUCCAGACUUUGUUCAAAUAGGACAUGAAGUUUGUCUGCAGCGAGCGUUUUGGUAGAAACUGCGCCUCCCAUUCAUUAUAAUGGGAAAUGACCACAGACAAGUGCGCACACCAUCUUUGGACCUUGAGUGUGACGCAAUCAGGAGGGGGAGGCGGUCGCGCUGGGGGCGGCGCGACGCGGCUCGGGCCCGACAGUGCCCCACCGGGGCCCUAGUUAUUAUUUUUCCUCCCCUUUGAACUGGAAAAUGGCCCACUUCCCACUGGCGAAAACUCAUGAAAUUUGGCAGGACGACCGGGCCUGGUGAAAAAUUUGAUAUUCCGAAGUCGCCCAAACAAGAAAAUGCAAAAUGGCUCCAUAGCGCCCCCUAAGGUGAAAAUUCACACUAUUGACUGUCACGCCUGUACGCUUUGUCAAAAUGACACAAAAAUUGACACACACAUGUAUCUCAAUAAGAUCUACAAAAAAGUCAGUGCGGGCGUAUCUGUCAAAUGUACGGUUAAAGGGUUAUUUCGCAUUUUUUGCCGAUCCGCACACAUUGGAAUUUCGCUAACUCCUCCGAAGGCUUUCGUUCCACCGGCACCACAUUUGCUCAGGCCAAUCUACACCCCAUGGCCAUUAAAAGUUAUUCAAAUCAUGACGCUGCACCCCACGGUUUAGGUUCUAGGGGGCGCCAAAGAUAACCCUAAAAUCCACAUUUUUAAAAGUCUUAUAACUUUUUAUUUUUGCCCUCACUGGCCUCCAAGUUUUCUAGGAUGAUGCAAUGUCCAGCCAUCAACACAUUUGUGAAGGAAUUUUUACUCCCCAAAAGAGCGCCCCCCCAUGGCAGGAGAAAAAAGUCCAUUUUUUUCUUGUCCCCUAAGGUGAAAAUACACAUUGUUGAGUGUCACGCCUGUACGCUUUGUCAAAAUGACACAAAAAUUGACACACACAUGUAUCUCAAUAAGAUCUACAAAAAAGUCAGUGCGCGCAUAUCUGUCUAAUGUACGGUUAAAGGGUUAUUCCGCAUUUUUUGCCGAUUCGCACACAUUGGAAUUUCGCUAACUCCUCCGAAGGCUUUCGUUCCACCGGCACCACAUUUGCUCAGGCCAAAUUACACCCCAUGGCCAUUAAAAGUUAUUCAAAUCAUGACGCUGCACCCCACGGUUUACGUUCUAGGGGGCGCCAAAGAUAACCCAAAAAUCCACAUUUUUAAAAGUCUUAUAACUUUUUAUUUUUGUCCUCACUGGCCUCCAAGUUUUCUAGGAUGAUGCAAUGUCCAGCCAUCAACACAUUUGUGAAGGAAUUUUUACUCCCCAAAAGAGUGCCCCCCCCCAUGGCAGGAGAAAAAAGUCCAUUUUUUCUUGUCCCCUAAGGUGAAAAUACACAUUGUUGACUGUCACGCCUGUACGCUUUGGCAAAAUGACACAAAAAUUGACAAUCAUGUGUAUCUCAAUUAGAUCUACGAAAAAGUCAAAGAGCGCGUAUCUGUAUAAUGUACGGUAAAAGGGCUAUUUUGCAUUUUUUGCCGAUUCGCACACAUUGGAAUUUCGCUAACUCCUCCUAAGGCUUUCGUCCCACUGACACCAAAUUUGCUCAGGCCAAUCUACACUCCAUGGCCAUUCAAAGUUGUAAAAAUCAUGACGCUGCACCCCACGGUUUACGUUUUAGGGGGCGCCAAAGAUGACCCAAAUAUACAUUACAGUAGACAAAGUAGUUUUGCCCACUGAGUGGCGCCAAAGGGACUUGUCUGUGGAGUCUGUGAGUCACUAUUGGCCGUUUUUGACUACUUUAGAUUUUACCUUUAUAUUUCCUCUUACAAAAUUUUUACCUUGCCUUGCCUGGUAUCAUUUUUUUCAGCACAACCUCACCUGUGUCAAUUUACAGUUAUUUUAUCAUUUUGACAUACUAUAUUUACACAUUGGACCCAAAUUCACACACAAAACAUAAAAUCCGAGUGGAAAAAAGUAACGUUUUUACUGUGAAAACCACAAAUAUGUGUGAUGAACUGUUUUUAAAACUUAAACUUCAAAUAAAAAUUGUAAACUUCAAAACAUAUGCAAAUUUUUAACAAAGAACAUAGUAAUUUACCUCUAUUGACAUCAAAAUGCAGGCAAUGGCCCAGGUGUUCUUUGUAAAAUUAUUUACAAAACACUGUAUAGUCUCACAAAUGUCACUUUAUAUUUAUGCCACUACAAAAAAACAUGAUGUAAAUGAUGCAUGAUGUAAAACAUGAUGUAAAAAACUUGUGUAGAUCCUCCUCUAUGUUAGUCCAUGUGUAAUUUUUCCAUAAUUCUUUGUUUUUUGCAGCAUUUUUGUUAGUGUAACUGCAGAUUGUGCUGACAGUGUCUAUGGCAAAAAAAAAAAAAAAAACUGAAAAUGCCUCAACAUGAACCCCUGGUGGUCUCUGAGGGUGAAACCUGCUAACUGCUGCAGCUCUGUCAGCUUCAGUCUCCCAUGCAGAGCUCGGAGCGCAUGUGUGGCUCUGCACCCUUAGCAGCGUUGCUAACUCCUCAGUAAGGAAAGCCUGCUUCAUGUCAGAGUCUCUAAACUCCAGAAGAAGUCGAUAAAAGUCACUUUCUUUCUAAAAAAAAGUCGUUAGGGGGUCUGAAAAGUCAUUGAAUCUAACAACAAAGUCGCUAGGUUUGCAACUACGUGUCCCAGACUGCAUCCCUGCUGAGAGUCCCUCCCUCCCUUCUCAUAUUGCAGGAAGAACGUAAGUUCCCGCCCCUUGUCAAUCAGUCACCAUAUAAUUUUGGAUUGGUUGUUGUGGUGAAGUUUUCCACCAAUAGGAGAGAUGUUGUGGUGUGUUUUUUUUUUCCUUUGGCAAGCCUUUUCCGCCUGUAAGACCUGUCGCUAAUGUCUGCAUGCUAUGUUUUCCUGUCUCAUACAGCGCGAUCGAGCGCCGAACGUGAUCAAAAUAAGCAGAAAACAAGUAUCGUGGACAUAAUUUAUCAUAACUCUGGUUUUAUUUGGCCUAUCAACACAAUUUAAAAACUGGUAUAUAGGUUGAGGUCCUCACUUUUGAGAUAAAUUGAAACGGAGAGUCAACGAGGCUCCGUCUUGCAGCUACAUCCGGUUAAAUAUGUCAUGUGACUUGAACGCGCACACACACACACACACACACACACACACACACACACACACACACACGCACACACACACACACUCAGAGUCUGGUUUUUAGCACCUGCAAAAACAUGCUAUUUACAUAUUUGACAAGAAUGCAGAGGCUCCUUUUGCCCCUGAAAAAAAUCAAAUUUCAAACACAACUUGACUGGUCAUUUCUCCAAAAGACAACCAUGAAGCUCCAUCCAAACCUGAAGCAGGCAGUUGGUGCAUGUGUACAGUAACCUGAGGGGAGUGAGGUGACUGCUUCUGAGGAGAACAUGAGCAGUGAAGAUUCACCUUAGAGCUAGAACAGAGACGUGCACAUGAUUAUACAGGGGCAGGGGCUCAAGUUUUUUCCAGUUGUUUAUACAAUAUGGAAAUUAAUGUGAAAUUAAAACACAAAGUAUUAAUAGAAAGGUAAUGACUGUCCUGUGUAGGUGACAGUGAUAUCCAAUAGGCUAGGCACUCACGAGGCUGGCUGUGGCAAGUGUAAGUGAAAGCAACACGCACUGGCAGGAAGAACAGCAAACGCCGAUGAAGGAAAAGGGUCUUUGCAGUGAUGGGCGUUACCAGAGAGGGCGAUGGCCAGAGGACACAAAUGGGACGGGGAGGCAGCGCGUUGGGGGGGGGACGCGACACAGCUCGGGCCCGCCAGUGCCCCAACGGGGUCCUAGUUCUUUCUUUCUUUCUUUCUUUCUUCUUUUUCCUCCCCUUUGAACUGGAAAAUGGCCCACUUCCCACUGGCGAAAACUCAUGAAAUUUGGCAGGACGACCGGGCCUGGUGAAAAAUUCGAUAUUCUGAAGUCGCCCAAACAAUAAAAUGCAAAAUGGCUCCAUAGCGCCCCCUAAGGUGGAAAUUCACACUAUUGACUGUCACGCCUGUACGCUUUGUCAUAUUGACACAAAAAUUGACACACAUAUGUAUCUCAAUAAGAUCUACAAAAAAGUCAGUGCGGCCGUAUCUGUCAAAUGUACGGUUAAAGGGUUAUUUCGCAUUUUUUUCCGAUCCGCACACAUUGGAAUUUCGCUAACUCCUCCAAAGGCUUUCGUUCCACCGGCACCACAUUUGCUCAGGCCAAUCUACACCCCGUGGCCAUUAAAAGUUAUCAAAAUCAUGACGCUGCACCCCAAGGUUUAGGUUCUAGGGGGCGCCAAAGAUAACACUAAAAUCCACAUAUUUAAAAGUCUUAUAACUUUUUAUUUUUGUCCUCACUGGCCUCCAAGUUUUCUAGGAUGAUGCAAUGUCCAGCCAUCAACACAUUUGUGAAGGAAUUUUUACUCCCCAAAAGAGCGCCCCCCCAUGGCAGGAGAAAAAAGUCCAUUUUUCUUGUCCCCUAAGGUGAAAAUACACAUUGUUGAGUGUCACGCCUAUACGCUUUGUCAAAAUGACACAAAAAUUGACACACACAUCUAACUCAAUAAGAUCUACGAAAAAGUCAAUGCGCGCGUAUCUGUCAAAUGUACGGUUAAAGGGUUAUUCCGCAUUUUUUGCCGAUCCGCACACAUUGGAAUGUGGCUAACUCCUCCUAAGGCUUUCGUUCCACCGGCACCACAUUUGCUCAGGCCAAUCUACACCCCAUGGCCAUUAAAAGUUAUUCAAAUCAUGACGCUGCACCCCACGGUUUAGGUUCUAGGGGGCGCCAAAGAUAACCCUAAAAUCCAGAUAUUUCAAAGUCUUAUAACUUUUUAUUUAAGUCCUCACUGGCCUCCAAGUUUUCUAGGAUGAUGCAAUGUCCAGCCAUCAACACAUUUGUGAAGGAAUUUUUACUCCCCAAAAGAGCGCCCCAUGGCAGGAGAAAAAAGUCCAUUUUUUCUUGUCCCAUAAGGUGAAAAAACACAUUGUUGACUGUCAUACCUGUACGCUUUGUCAUAUUGACACAAAAUCUGACAAUCACAUGUAUCUCAAUAAGAUCUACGAAAAAGUCAAUGCGUGCGUAUCUGUAAAAUGUACGGUUAAAGGGCUAUUUUGCAUUUUUUGCCGAUUCGCACACAUUGGAAUGUGGCUAACUCCUCCUAAGGCUUUCGUCCCACUGACACCAAAUUUGCUCAGGCCAAUCUACACCCCAUGGCCAUUCAAAGUUGUAAAAAUCAUGACGCUGCACCCCACGGUUUACGUUCUAGGGGGCGCCAAAGAUGACCCAAAUAUCCACAUUCUUAAAAGAAUCCACCCCCCCCAUCCCCCAACCCCCAACCCCCAUG